RNAcentral lists this long non-coding RNA (1169 nucleotides) under Vigna radiata. RNAcentral's name for it is "long non-coding RNA (VRAD_LNC014957)". The record is from RNAcentral. Lineage: Eukaryota; Viridiplantae; Streptophyta; Magnoliopsida; Fabales; Fabaceae.
AGAAAUCCACUAUCAAAUUCAAGUCAAGAUGACACCGCCAAAUAUUGGUAUGGCCUUGGAGAAAUGAAAAAUGAGAAGGGUCGUAUCAUCUGUGAAAAGAGAAUGAUUUCAAAGAAACAGGAUAUGGUACAACAGCCCAAAGAUAUCAAAAUGUUGGACCCAAGAUCUUCAGAUAGAAAAAAAAGUGAUGGUGUGGGAUUUAUGAAGAGACCUUGUCUAUUUGUUGUGUGGGAUGAUCUGAAAUUGUCACCAUUGACAUCUACCAGUCUUCCAAUUUCAUUUAGUGGUUCGGAUAAUCUCCUGUCUACUGAUUUGGAGGAACAUCUGCUGAAAAUCAAUAAGGCAAAGGUAAAUUUGACAAUCCACUCUUGACGACUUGUUCUUUCGAUAUUGGUUUAAGAAAAUCUGAUUGAUACUAAUGGUUUUAUUUAACAUUUGUCUAAUUAUAUAAAUUUGGUCAGGCAAUAAACCUGUUGAGGGCUUCUUUGACCUCUGACAAAGGUGCUUUUACUCGGAGCCUAUCCUGCCUAUUGUGGAAGUGGAGACUCCAAAGAUUCAUUCCAUUAUGGGGUUGGUUGAGAAACAAGAGAAACAAAAAGCGAGAGAAAAGAAAAAGACAAAAAAGUGAGAAAUAUAUCAAGUUAUUAAAUGAAAAGAAAGAGAAAGAGAAAAAGAAACAAGAAAUAAGUGCCGCAGAAACUAAAAAGAAGAAGGAAGAGAUUAACAAUAAUAAUUCAGUGCAGAAGCCAAAGGAAGAAGUCAAAGCCUAAACUUUAGGGUGAUAAGUGAUAAAGGUGACAUAGAACAAUGCUGCAAUGUAUUUUGGUGUAAGAAAUAGUUGUGUUUAAGUGAUUUGAUGAUCAUUGAAUAUGCAUAUUUUCUUGUUUUUGGAUGUCCUUAUAAUGUUCAAUAAUUCUACGAGUAUAAUUUUAGGUUGUGAUAUUAGUACAACUAGAAAUCUAUGAGGUAACAUCUCUCUCUCAAUGUUGGGAAGAGAUAGAGAUAAUGGGUAUGUUCAUAAUAAUAGCUGUAAUCAUUGCAUAGUUGAGUAGGGUGCCUCUAUCUGUCACUUUGCAUGGUAUUGGUUGGUUAUUUUAGAGGUGAAUUAAGACUAUCUACCAUUAUACAACAUCAAUUGAAAAGGCAACGGCAAGUGCAGUAAAAAUAGG